RNAcentral lists this ribosomal RNA (466 nucleotides) under uncultured bacterium. Its description in RNAcentral is "partial 16S ribosomal RNA". It matches the Rfam family "Bacterial small subunit ribosomal RNA", at positions 29 to 506 of the family's 1533-position model. The record is from RNAcentral.
ACGAACGCUGGCGGCGUGCUUAACACAUGCAAGUCGAACGGAAAGGCCCUGCUUUUGUGGGGUGCUCGAGUGGCGAACGGGUGAGUAACACGUGAGUAACCUGCCCUUGACUUUGGGAUAACUUCAGGAAACUGGGGCUAAUACCGGAUAGGAGCUCCUGCUGCAUGGUGGGGGUUGGAAAGUUUCGGCGGUUGGGGAUGGACUCGCGGCUUAUCAGCUUGUUGGUGGGGUAGUGGCUUACCAAGGCUUUGACGGGUAGCCGGCCUGAGAGGGUGACCGGCCACAUUGGGACUGAGAUACGGCCCAGACUCCUACGGGAGGCAGCAGUGGGGAAUAUUGCACAAUGGGCGGAAGCCUGAUGCAGCAACGCCGCGUGCGGGAUGACGGCCUUCGGGUUGUAAACCGCUUUCGCCUGUGACGAAGCGUGAGUGACGGGAAUGGGUAAAGAAACACCGGCUAACUACGU